Non-coding RNA from Aedes aegypti (yellow fever mosquito), 47 nucleotides. The record is from Rfam. NCBI's taxonomy places the organism in Eukaryota, Metazoa, Arthropoda, Insecta, Diptera, Culicidae.
CAAUCGGCCCUUUUUAGGGCCAACAAAUGUGUACCAAAAAGUUAAUU